CUACGGGCCGCACCAGUGGGGAAUAUUGCACGAUGGGCGCAAGCCUGAUGCAGCCAUGCCGCGUGUAUGAAGAAGGCCUUCGGGUUGUAAAGUACUUUCAGCGGGGAGGAAGGGAGUAAAGUUAAUACCUUUGCUCAUUGACGUUACCCGCAGAAGAAGCACCGGCUAACUCCGUGCCAGCAGCCGCGGUAAUACGGAGGGUGCAAGCGUUAAUCGGAAUUACUGGGCGUAAAGCGCACGCAGGCGGUUUGUUAAGUCAGAUGUGAAAUCCCCGGGCUCAACCUGGGAACUGCAUCUGAUACUGGCAAGCUUGAGUCUCGUAGAGGGGGUAGAAUUCCAGGUGUAGCGGUGAAAUGCGUAGAGAUCUGGAGGAAUACCGGUGGCGAAGGCGGCCCCCUGGACGAAGACUGACGCUCAGGUGCGAAAGCGUGGGGAGCAAACAGGAUUAGAUACCCCAGUAGUC
This 463-nucleotide ribosomal RNA is filed under the name uncultured bacterium. RNAcentral's name for it is "partial 16S ribosomal RNA". It matches the Rfam family "Bacterial small subunit ribosomal RNA", at positions 339 to 795 of the family's 1533-position model. The record is from RNAcentral.